CAGCCCUGGAGUGGCCGAUGACCGCUGUGACCUUGACACAGGCCAGUGCAGGUGCCGAGCGGGCUUUGAGGGGGCCACAUGUGAUCGCUGUGCCCCUGGCUACUUUCACUUCCCUCUCUGCCAGUUGUGUGGCUGCAGCCCUGCAGGAACCUUGCCCGAGGGCUGCGAUGAGGCCGGCCGCUGCCUAUGCCAGCCUGAGUUUGCCGGACCUCAUUGUGACCGGUGCCGCCCUGGCUACCAUGGUUUCCCCAACUGCCAAGCAUGCACCUGCGACCCUCGGGGAGCCCUGGACCAGCUCUGUGGGGCGGGAGGUUUGUGCCGCUGCCGCCCCGGCUACACAGGCACUGCCUGCCAGGAAUGCAGCCCCGGCUUUCACGGCUUCCCCAGCUGUGUCCGUGAGUGCCUAGGGAGGAAGUGGUGGGGAGGCAGGUGCAGUCUCCACUGCGUGCCCACGGCUAUCCUUGUCCGCAGCCUGCCACUGCUCUGCCGAAGGCUCCCUGCACGCAGCCUGCGACCCCCGGAGUGGGCAGUGCAGCUGCCGGCCCCGCGUGACGGGACUGCGGUGUGACACGUGUGUGCCCGGUGCCUACAACUUCCCCUACUGCGAAGCUGGCUCUUGCCACCCUGCCGGUCUGGCCCCAGUGGAUCCUGCCCUUCCUGAGGCACAGGUUCCCUGUAUGUGCCGGGCUCACGUGGAGGGACCGAGCUGUGACCGCUGCAAACCUGGGUUAUGGGGACUGAGCCCCAGCAACCCCGAGGGCUGUACCCGCUGUAGCUGCGACCUCAGGGGCACACUGGGUGGAGUUGCUGAGUGCCAGCCGGGCACCGGCCAGUGCUUCUGCAAGCCCCACGUGUGCGGCCAGGCCUGCGCGUCCUGCAAGGAUGGCUUCUUUGGACUGGAUCAGGCUGACUAUUUUGGCUGCCGCA
This 927-nucleotide long non-coding RNA is filed under the name Pan troglodytes (chimpanzee). RNAcentral's name for it is "long non-coding RNA NONPTRT009318". Lineage: Eukaryota; Metazoa; Chordata; Mammalia; Primates; Hominidae. The record is from RNAcentral.